This 465-nucleotide ribosomal RNA is filed under the name Vreelandella stevensii. RNAcentral's name for it is "partial 16S ribosomal RNA". It matches the Rfam family "Bacterial small subunit ribosomal RNA", at positions 338 to 795 of the family's 1533-position model. Lineage: Bacteria; Pseudomonadati; Pseudomonadota; Gammaproteobacteria; Oceanospirillales; Halomonadaceae. The record is from RNAcentral.
CCUACGGGUGGCUGCAGUGGGGAAUAUUGGACAAUGGGGGCAACCCUGAUCCAGCCAUGCCGCGUGUGUGAAGAAGACCCUCGGGUUGUAAAGCACUUUCAGUGAGGAAGAACGCCUGGUGGUUAAUACCCAUCAGGAAAGACAUCACUCACAGAAGAAGCACCGGCUAACUCCGUGCCAGCAGCCGCGGUAAUACGGAGGGUGCGAGCGUUAAUCGGAAUUACUGGGCGUAAAGCGCGCGUAGGUGGCUUGAUAAGCCGGUUGUGAAAGCCCCGGGCUCAACCUGGGAACGGCAUCCGGAACUGUCAAGCUAGAGUGCAGGAGAGGAAGGUAGAAUUCCCGGUGUAGCGGUGAAAUGCGUAGAGAUCGGGAGGAAUACCAGUGGCGAAGGCGGCCUUCUGGACUGACACUGACACUGAGGUGCGAAAGCGUGGGUAGCAAACAGGAUUAGAUACCCUGGUAGUC